GCAGUCGAGGGGCAGCAUGGUCUUAGCUUGCUAAGGCUGAUGGCGACCGGCGCACGGGUGAGCAACACGUAUCCAACCUGCCGUCUACUCUUGGCCAGCCUUCUGAAAGGAAGAUUAAUCCAGGAUGGGAUCAUGAGUUCACAUGUCCGCAUGAUUAAAGGUAUUUUCCGGUAGACGAUGGGGAUGCGUUCCAUUAGAUAGUAGGCGGGGUAACGGCCCACCUAGUCAACGAUGGGUAGGGGUUCUGAGAGGAAGGUCCCCCACAUUGGAACUGAGACACGGUCCAAACUCCUACGGGAGGCAGCAGUGAGGAAUAUUGGUCAAUGGGCGAUGGCCUGAACCAGCCAAGUAGCGUGAAGGAUGACUGCCCUAUGGGUUGUAAACUUCUUUUAUAAAGGAAUAAAGUCGGGUAUGCAUACCCGUUUGCAUGUACUUUAUGAAUAAGGAUCGGCUAACUCCGUGCCAGCAGCCGCGGUAAUACGGAGGAUCCGAGCGUUAUCCGGAUUUAUUGGGUUUAAAGGGAG
Molecule: ribosomal RNA, 524 nt
Filed under: uncultured bacterium
Lineage: Bacteria
Description: bacterial SSU rRNA
Rfam family: Bacterial small subunit ribosomal RNA
Source: RNAcentral